Non-coding RNA from Cyanistes caeruleus (blue tit), 462 nucleotides. Lineage: Eukaryota; Metazoa; Chordata; Aves; Passeriformes; Paridae. The record is from RefSeq and is a predicted model, not a curated record.
GAGAUUAAUUAGUGCAAUAAUUCGGGAGGCCAUUUAUGUGAGUCUGAGUCUUGUUCAAAUUCUUAAUUUUUUUGCAUAAAGAGCGUACUCUUAGUAGGACAGCGUUGCUUCAGCCAUUGUCUGCCUCUGAAAGCCUUGAAGACAUCUUGAUGUUUUAAACUAAAUUCUCAUUAGAAUGUCUCUGUUUUACAGACAUUUUGGAAUGGCCUCAGCCAAAAUGUUCUCAGAGCAGCAUCCAGCAGGAAAUACGCGGAAGCCUUGAGAAUUGAUGUUCCGUGCUGCUCCCCCACCAGCAGUGCCCAUAAAACAUGGAUUGCUAAGAUUUGUUUGACUAAAACCGACCAAACAAAAAGUAAAACAAAAACCAAAUUAAAACCCUGAUGGAGCAAAUUGUUUUACAGUGCCAUGAAAUGGGUGAUGCCUAGGUCCAUUCCCCUGCAGAUAAAGUUCAUUUCAAACAUG